Molecule: ribosomal RNA, 806 nt
Filed under: uncultured archaeon
Lineage: Archaea
Description: bacterial SSU rRNA
Rfam family: Archaeal small subunit ribosomal RNA
Source: RNAcentral
ACCUCGGGAAACUGAGGAUAAUGUUUCAUAGUUGAAAAGGCUUGGAAAAGUUUUUCAAUCAAAAGGAUAAGAAAAAUGGUUUUUAUCCGCUAUAGGAUAGGAUCGUGGUCGAUUAUGGUUGUUGGUGAGGUAAUGGCUCACCAAGCCGAUAAUCGAUAGGGGCCGUGAGAGCGGGAGCCCCGAGAUGGGUACUGAGACAACGACCCAGGCCUUACGAGGCGCAGCAGGCGCGAAACCUCCGCAAUACACGAAAGUGUGACGGGGUUACCCAAAGUGUUCAAUUUUGAACUGUGGUAGGUGAGUAAUGUCCCCUACUAGAAAGGAGAGGGCAAGGCUGGUGCCAGCCGCCGCGGUAAAACCAGCUCUUCAAGUGGUCGGGAUAAUUAUUGGGCUUAAAGUGUCCGUAGCCGGUCUAGUAAGUUCCUGGUAAAAUCGGGUAGCUUAACUAUCUGUAUGCUAGGAAUACUGCUAAACUAGAGGGCGGGAGAGGUCUGAGGUACUACAGGGGUAGGGGUGAAAUCUUAUAAUCCUUGUAGGACCACCAGUGGCGAAGGCGUCAGACUGGAACGUGCCUGACGGUGAGGGACGAAAGCCAGGGGAGCGAACCGGAUUAGAUACCCGGGUAGUCCUGGCCGUAAACGAUGCAUACUAGGUGAUGGCAUGGCCAUGAGCCGUGUCAGUGCCGUAGGGAAACCGUUAAGUAUGCCGCCUGGGAAGUACGGUCGCAAGGCUAAAACUUAAAGGAAUUGGCGGGGGAGCACCACAAGGGGUGAAGCCUGCGGUUCAAUUGGAUUCAACGCCGGGAA